This 228-nucleotide ribosomal RNA is filed under the name Staphylococcus epidermidis. Its description in RNAcentral is "partial 23S ribosomal RNA". It matches the Rfam family "Bacterial large subunit ribosomal RNA", at positions 405 to 635 of the family's 2925-position model. Lineage: Bacteria; Bacillati; Bacillota; Bacilli; Caryophanales; Staphylococcaceae. The record is from RNAcentral.
AUCCUGAGUACGACGGAGCACGUGAAAUUCCGUCGGAAUCUGGGAGGACCAUCUCCUAAGGCUAAAUACUCUCUAGUGACCGAUAGUGAACCAGUACCGUGAGGGACAGGUGAAAAGUACCCCGGAAGGGGAGUGAAAGAGAACUUGAAACCGUGUGCUUACAAGUAGUCAGAGCCCGUUAAUGGGUGAUGGCGUGCCUUUUGUAGAAUGAACCGGCGAGUUACGAUC